GAAUACUAAAUAAUAAUAAUAAUAAUAAUAAGCGUUAAAGAGUCUAACAUCUGAGACUUUUUGUCUUAGGUAAUGUGAAUUUCUCUCUUUUUAAAGUCAGGAAUACUGAUAAGUGUCCUUACUGGAGUACCACAGGAAUUCCAAUUCUGUCAGAACCCCAGCUAUAGCUGCGUGUGCAGUGGGUGAUUUAUCAAUAGACCAGACUCUGUAGGAAAUAGGUGUUGCUGGAUUGUUUGGAAGACAAAAAGCUGAGACUUCACUAAACUUAAGGAACAGUGGAAAUCCAGAGCAAGAAUAUCUGUUUGUACCACUUUUAUUCAACGUUAUAAUUAAGCUUCUACCCAGAGC
RNAcentral lists this long non-coding RNA (348 nucleotides) under Chinchilla lanigera (long-tailed chinchilla). Its description in RNAcentral is "lncRNA (ENSCLAG00000024267.1)". Lineage: Eukaryota; Metazoa; Chordata; Mammalia; Rodentia; Chinchillidae. The record is from RNAcentral.